UACGUAGGUGUCAAGCGUUGUCCGGAUUUAUUGGGCGUAAAGCGCCCGCAGGCGGCUUGCCCAGUUCGAUGUGAAAUCUCCCGGCUCAACUGGGAGGGUGCAUCGAAAACUGGCAGGCUUGAGGCAGGGAGAGGGAUGUGGAAUUCCAGGUGUAGUGGUGAAGUGCGUAGAUAUCUGGAGGAACACCAGUGGCGAAGGCGGCAUCCUGGCCCUGUCCUGACGCUCAGGGGCGAAAGCGUGGGGAGCAAACCGG
Molecule: ribosomal RNA, 253 nt
Filed under: uncultured bacterium
Lineage: Bacteria
Description: partial 16S ribosomal RNA
Rfam family: Bacterial small subunit ribosomal RNA
Source: RNAcentral